Long non-coding RNA from Lontra canadensis (Northern American river otter), 190 nucleotides. RefSeq lists it as uncharacterized. The transcript has 3 exons. The record is from RefSeq and is a predicted model, not a curated record. Lineage: Eukaryota; Metazoa; Chordata; Mammalia; Carnivora; Mustelidae.
CAACUGCUGUGAUCACAUCCUGCUGUGACUGAGGGGAAGUUUGGCUUGGAAAGAACUUGUUGCACAGACACAUGUGGGCUCAGCAGGAUGGAUCCUUAACGGAGGAGACAGAUUCCAGAUUCAGGCCCGCUGGAGCAGGGCUUAAAUCCUCCGAAUUUGGAUGGAUGGAUACUGGGCCUACUUCAGCGUC